Molecule: ribosomal RNA, 490 nt
Filed under: uncultured bacterium
Lineage: Bacteria
Description: bacterial SSU rRNA
Rfam family: Bacterial small subunit ribosomal RNA
Source: RNAcentral
GAUGAACGCUAGCGGCAGGCUUAAUACAUGCAAGUCGAGGGGCAUCAAGGUACACGAAAGUGUAUUGUUGGCGACCGGCGGACGGGUGAGUAAUAGGUAGGUAACCUACCUCAUACUGAGGCAUAGCUGGGAGAAAUUCCAGGUAAUUCCUCAUGAGGUUAUAUGACACAUGUGAUAUAAUCAAAGGUAUCGCAAGGUACUGGUAUGAGAUGGGCUUACUGACCAUUAGCUAGUUGGUGAGAUAAGAGCUCACCAAGGCGAAGAUGGUUAGGGGUUUUGAGAGAGAGAUCCCCCACAUUGGAACUGAGAUACGGUCCAGACUCCUACGGGAGGCAGCAGUAGGGAAUAUUGGGCAAUGGGCGGAAGCCUGACCCAGCCAUGCCGCGUGAGUGAAGAAGGCCUUCGGUUGUAAGCUCUUUCGGCCGGGAAGAAUCGUAUGGUUAAUACCUGUGCGGAUGACGGUACCGGCAUAAGAAGACACCGGCUAACU